UUAUCGGAGAGUUUGAUCCUGGCUCAGGACGAACGCUGGCGGCGUGCCUAAUACAUGCAAGUCGAGCGGACAGAUGGGAGCUUGCUCCCUGAUGUUAGCGGCGGACGGGUGAGUAACACGUGGGUAACCUGCCUGUAAGACUGGGAUAACUCCGGGAAACCGGGGCUAAUACCGGAUGCUUGUUUGAACCGCAUGGUUCAAACAUAAAAGGUGGCUUCGGCUACCACUUACAGAUGGACCCGCGGCGCAUUAGCUAGUUGGUGAGGUAACGGCUCACCAAGGCAACGAUGCGUAGCCGACCUGAGAGGGUGAUCGGCCACACUGGGACUGAGACACGGCCCAGACUCCUACGGGAGGCAGCAGUAGGGAAUCUUCCGCAAUGGACGAAAGUCUGACGGAGCAACGCCGCGUGAGUGAUGAAGGUUUUCGGAUCGUAAAGCUCUGUUGUUAGGGAAGAACAAGUGCCGUUC
This 470-nucleotide ribosomal RNA is filed under the name Bacillus atrophaeus. Its description in RNAcentral is "bacterial SSU rRNA". It matches the Rfam family "Bacterial small subunit ribosomal RNA", at positions 1 to 461 of the family's 1533-position model. Lineage: Bacteria; Bacillati; Bacillota; Bacilli; Caryophanales; Bacillaceae. The record is from RNAcentral.